Molecule: ribosomal RNA, 458 nt
Filed under: uncultured bacterium
Lineage: Bacteria
Description: SSU rRNA
Rfam family: Bacterial small subunit ribosomal RNA
Source: RNAcentral
AGAAUCAACGCUGGCGGCGUGCCUAACACAUGCAAGUCGAACGAGAAAGUGGAGCAAUCCACGAGUAAAGUGGCGCACGGGUGAGUAACACGUGACUAACCUACCCUUGAGUGGGGGAUAACCUAGAGAAAUCUGGGCUAAUACCGCAUAAUACCUUCGGGUCAAAGGAGCAAUUCGCUUAAGGAGGGGUCGCGGCCGAUUAGUUAGUUGGCGGGGUAAUGGCCCACCAAGACUAUGAUCGGUAUCCGGCCUGAGAGGGCGCACGGACACACUGGAACUGAAACACGGUCCAGACUCCUACGGGAGGCAGCAGUGGGGAAUUUGCGCAAUGGGGGAAACCCUGACGCAGCAACGCCGCGUGGAGGAUGAAGUCCCUUGGGACGUAAACUCCUUUCGAUCGGGACGAUAAUGACGGUACCGAGAGAAGAAGCCCCGGCUAACUUCGCGCCAGCAGCCGC